Molecule: long non-coding RNA, 23819 nt
Filed under: Lathyrus oleraceus (garden pea)
Lineage: Eukaryota; Viridiplantae; Streptophyta; Magnoliopsida; Fabales; Fabaceae
Description: Pisum sativum (pea) long non-coding RNA (PSAT_LNC003913)
Source: RNAcentral
CGUGUUCAAUCCUGGGAGUAACUCUGCUACAAAGUCAAUUGGUGCUCAUGUUUUCGACAAACCACUCCCCAACACCCCCACUGUCUAUGAUUGGUACAUAAUCUCCUCUAUGAUUGGUACAUAGUCUUAUUUAUGUUUAUACCGUUGGAUCUGAGACUCUUUGAUCUACGGAUGAGAUUUACCUGUUUGUUGAUGGGAUGAUUCGUGCUAAAAUGAGUAUGGUUGUAUGUGAUUGCAGGAUGUACAGUGGGGAUACGAGAAGCAAGCACCGUUGAUUAGUGAUCAAGUGGAUACCAACUCCCUUGGGUUUUGCAUGUAAAUAGUGUUCUGUUUUGUUCAUCUUCUGCCACGUGUCUACAUCACCGUUACGUGUUGAGAUCUGAUUGGUUGUUGCAGAGUGUUUUUUUUUUAUUUAAGCAUCUAAUCUGAAUCUGAAUGUAAAAUACUUAAUAAAUUGAAUUAGUAUGCUUUAAUGAGUUUGUAUUUAACUUUUAUCUGAAUGGAUUAGGACUGUAUUAAUAAUAAUUUUAGGUGAGAUGCAUACAUCAUUGAUCCACUAAAUUGAUUUAUAUCCAUUUCCUAAUCAUUCUAGUAAUUUAAUACUACUUGGAAAUAAUUAAAAUUUUGGGGCCACCAAUACCAAGUCCUUUUAUAAGUAAUUGACAAAUAAAAUAAAGUAUGAUUUAAUGGAGAAAUCGAGGGAUUCAUAUCUUAUCCUUAUUUUGAAUAUUGACAACAUAGCUCAUGUCAUUGAUAUAUAUAAUGGAGUCCUUGACUUAAAAAAAAAGUUACUCUAUUCUUAACGGAUUAAUUGAUCAGUUUAUAUAGGUAUAUGAAAGAGAAUAAUAUUUUGAUUAAAUUUAGACUAAUUGAAAUAGAACGAGUAAUAAUUAAUAAUAACAAUAAGGGUUAAAAUAUGUAUAAUCAAUUUUAGUUUCUAAUUUUUUUUAUUUAUUCUAAAAUUUUCUGUCUACAAUUUUGUUCUGUUAUUUAUUUGGUCUAACAAUAGCUAAGUGGUAUGCCGGUGUCAUGUUAAAUUGUGGAGAUUUAAAUCUCUUCAAACCUCUUUAAACUAAAACUAAUUUUAAAAAAUUUCAAUUACAUGAUUAUAAAUGAACCAGAAACUAAAAUUUUGGCAUAAAAAAUAUAAAGGUGGCCAUAAUUCUCUUGCUAUAAUGUUACAUGAAUCUAAUUUCUAAAAUAUGUUGCGUGCACAAUAACUAGAAUAGAUUAAAUAAAUGGAUUGAUUCAAAUUUUCUUAACACUUUCAUCCCUCAUAUGAUAAGAAAAUGCAUUUUGUGAGAGAGUGAGUAAAGAACAUAGAAACAUAACCUAUCUGAAAUGAAGCGAUUUUAGUUAAUUAUGGAUUUUUAAAAUCCGAAGGGAACGAAACGAAGCACUGAAGUAGAAUGUGGAGAAAACUUAAGGAUUUUGAAACCCCAAAUGGUGAAAUGUGUGGAGAAAACUUAAGGAUUUUGAAACCCUAAAUGGUGAAAUGUGUUGAAUUAUUAUAAUUUUUUGUGUUAAAGCAGAUUGCUCGACUGAAGCGAGAAUGUAUCGGAUCAAGUUGUUCGAUAAAAAGUAAGGAUGUGUCAAAACACCUAGUUAUCGAAGUGUUGAGGAGUUAGUCUCAACAUGAAUUUUUUACUUAGGCCAAAUUUAGUAGCAUAAUUAGAUAUUUUGAGUUUUGUUUGGGGAGCAAGUAAAUCCAACUCUAUAAAUAGGAAGUAAUCCCUAUUAUUGUAAUAUAACACAUACUUGCAGUUGCAAAGAAUAAAAGUUCUCAAUUUGAGAGUCGAGAGUUACUCUGCAAAAUUUCUUCUUCUUCCUUGUUUGAAAAUCCUAAUCUCUUUUUCUUUUCCAAUUCAAUUUUGUUUCUUUUCAUUACCAUUGUGCACCGAAAUCUUGCAACUAAGAUUUGGUUGAUUCACUCGACCGAAGAGUGAAGAACAAGAGGAGUAAUCAAUCAGAAAGAUUGAUUAUUAUUCAUCAAGAUUAAAUUCAGAAUUCUCCAUAUAUUUUGGUGAAUUUCUUGAAGGAGAAUUGAUGAAUUUCCAACAUCUGGUAUCUAUAGCGCUGAUUGAGCGAUUCGUGGGAAGAAAAACACGAUGGUGAUGAAUCAACCAAACAAACAUUUUUCGAGGAGUCUCCCAAUUUCGAAGAAUCAGAAUCAUGAGAAUUGGUGCAAGUAGAUAGAUGUUGUCUUUUUCUAUCAAGAUCUUUGGGAUCUUGUGAAGGAGGGAGUGACACCGCUUGCAACAAACGUGACGAAUGAGGAAAAAACUGCACACAAAAAAUUGAAAAAGAAAGAUUAUAAAUCUCUCUUUAUAAUCCAUCAAUGUGUUAAUGGAGAAAAUCCAAAAAGGCUAGUGAUGUUGAAUCAACAAAAGAAGCAUGAGAAAUUCUGAAAAAAUCAUUUGGAGGUGCGGAAAAAGUGAAAGAAGUGAGGUUACAAACUCACAAAAGAACGUAUGAAUUGCUUAAGAUGGAAGACAAUGAAAGCAUAACUGAUUUUUUCACUAGGGUUACAAAACUGGUGAAUCAAAUCAAGGUAUGUGGAGAAGUGUUAACAUCAAGAUCAGUUGUUUCAAAGAUCUUAAGGUCAUUGGCUCCAAGUUCAACCACGUGGUAGUAGCCACAGAAGAGUCGAAAGAUUUGUCAAUAUUGACAAAGGAAGAGCUUGAAGAGACACUUCAAUCUCAUGAACACAUAAUGGCUAAAAGAGCUGUAGGCAAGUUGAAAAAUGAUGUGGCUUUAUAGGCACAAUCAACAAGAGAAAAGAAAGGUAAAAGAAGGUGGUUCGACAACAAAAGUAAAGGAGGCUACGACAAUUCGAUUGGUCAAAAUCAGCAAGAAAGAGGUUGGUUGAAUCAGAGAAAGCUCUUAUACCAAAACAACCAAAGAGAUGGUGAUGCAUGUAGAGGAAGAGGUGGUGGUCGAAAACCUGACAAAAGUCGCAUUUAGUGUUUCAAAUGUCAAAAGUAUGGUAACUACUCUAGUGAUUGUCCGGAAAAACAAAAGAAUCAAGAUAAUGAUGUAAAGUUUGCAAAGCAUGAGGAAGAAGAAAUGUUGUUGAUGGUCACAACAAGAGAUGAAGAAAGAUUUCAGGACCAAUAGUAUUUGGACUCAGGAUGCUCAUCACUCAUGACUGGUAGGAAAGAUUGAUUUGUCAACAUGAAACCUUCAAUGAAGAACAUGGUAAAAUUUACAAAUGACAAUACUCUAGUAGAUAAAGGUAUUGAUGAUGUUCUAAUUAUGAGGAAAGAUGGCAAGAUGUCAAUAAUUUCCAAUGUAUUGUAUAUACCAGGCAUGAAAAGUGAUUUGCUCAGCAUAAGGUAGUUGGUCGAAAAGAACUACAAAGUGUCGAUCAAAGAAAAAAUGAUGAGAGUUUUCGACUCGGGUGGAGGAUUAAUCUUGAAGGCACCCAUGUCUCAGAGUAGAACCUUCAGGAUUGAACUUAAUGUGAUGGAGCAUAAAUGUCUUGCAACUGCAGCUAGCUGAGAUGAAUGAAUAUGACAUUAUAGAUUUGGUCAUCUUAACUUCAAAGGCAUCAGAGAUCUGAAGAGAAGAAAUAUGGUUUCAGGGUUACCAGAAAUUGAUAUUCCAAACGAAGUGUGUAAGAAAUGUGUGCAGGCGGAGUAGCACAAGAACAACUUCAACAAGGAUGCAUGAAGAAAGUCGAAGGCAAUCUUGUAAGUCAUAUACUCUGAUGUGUGUGGUCCUAUCCAGGUGGAUUCGUUGGAGGUAACAAAUACUUUGUCACAUUCAUAGAUGAUUUAAGUCGAAAAUUAUGGACUUACUUGAUUAAGGAGAAAAAUGAAGUGAUCGAGAUAUUUGUCAAGUUUAAAUCUAUAGUCGAAAGCUCAAGAUUCUGAGGACUGAUGGUGGUGGAGAAUAUGUAUCGAAAGAUUUCGACAUGUUAUGUGAGAAAUAAGGGAUCGUGAAUGAGUGGUGGCACCAUACACUCCAUAAUAUAAUAGAACUGCAGAAAGGAAGAAUAGAACCAUCAUUAAUAUGGUGAGAAGUAUGUUGAAAGACAAACAUCUACCCAAAGAAUUAUGGGGAGAAGCUGUGUCGACAAUAACAUAUAUUUUGAAUAGAUGUUUGACGAAGAAGCUAGAUGAAAGCACGCCAGAAGAAUGUUGGUCUGGUGUCAAGCCUAGCUUGAGUUAUCUGAAAGUAUUUGGAUCUAUAGUACAUAGACAUGUGGCAGAUCAAUUGAGAAGAAAACUUGAUGAUAAUUUGAGUCAGAUGAUCCUAAUAGGGUAUCAUUCGACUGGAGGUUACAAGUUGUUUGACCCAGUGAGCAAGCAAGUAGCGAUCAACAGAGACGUGAUCACAAAUGAGCUUAAGGAAUGAGAUUGGACUGAAAAUGUCAAAAAAGAUUAAGUGAGAAUCUUAUGUGAAGAACCAGCAAGUGAAGUCCAAGGAGAAGUUCGACAAGAAGAAGUCAGAGGUCAAGCAAGCACAAUCAGAUCUUAGAGAACAAGAAACAUGCCUGCAAGGUUGUAGGAAUGUGUGAUUACAUCAGAUGAUGCAUUUGAUGAUGAAGGUGAGCUGGUACACUAUGAUUUCUAUGCAGAUGUUGAACCAAUCAAUACAGUUGAAGCAUUGAAGGAUUUGAAAUGGGUGAAAAUAAUGAAUGAGGAACUGAAGUCCAUUGAAGUCAACAACACUUGGUCACCUGUCGAAUUUCCAAAUAAGGCAUUUGAUGUGAAGUGGGCAUACAAGGUGAAGUUGAAUUCCAAAGGAGAAGUAACUUGACACAAGACUAAGCUUAUGGCGAAAGGAUUUCUUCAGAAGGAAUCGACUUUGAUGAAGUUUUUGCACCUAUUGCUAGGAUCGAAACAAUCAGGUUGGUUGUUGGUCUAACAAACAGGAACAACUGACACAUAUAUCAGAUAGAUGUGAAAUGUGCAUUCCUGAAUGACCCUUAAAUGAAGAAGCGUAUGUUGCACAACCAACUAAAUUUAUGAAACUUGACAAAGAAAUCAAAGUAUAUAGACUGCAUAAAGCCAUGCAUGUAUAUAAAAACGUUUCAAUAAAAAAUAAUUAAUCUACUAUAUCAUAUUCAUCAUAUAUCAUCAUCAUAAAAAGUCAAAACAUAAAUUUUGUGUAACUUUUUUUCCUUCUAAAUAUACCCUUUUAAUUUUUAUUUUAAAGUAACUUCUCUUUUCCACAAACGAUAAUUAUACGACGAUUUAUUAUUUUUUAUAUUAUUAUUUUUAACUAUUUUAUAAAUAAUUUAAAAUUAAAUUAAAAUUUAAUAAAAGUAUAAUAUAAUAUAUAUUUUAUAUGCAUUAAUAUUAAAGUAUUAAAAACACAGACAGGUAAAUAGUAAUAUGUAUAAUUUAAAAAUAUUACCACAAUCGAAUACGUGGAAUUGGAAUACACAUUGGUUUUUGGUUAUCAAUAUAAAAAAAAGUUAGACUUAAAUAAUCUUUUGAUUUCGGUGAGUUAGAGAUUUUUUUGAUUUUAUUCCCUGUGAUUUGAAUUUUUGAUUUUGAUAUCUUUAAUUUGAAUUUUUGAUUUUGGUCAUUGUAAUUUAUUUUUUUUGAUCUGACUCCCUGUAUCUUACUUUUGUUAGGAAAUCUAAGGAUUUAGAGACUAAAAUCAACCCAAAGAAUAAUAUAUAGGGACUCUGAAAAAAAUUAAGUUUCAAAACAAAAAUCCGCUAAUUUAUAUUUUAGUUUAAAAGAAAAAUUAUAUUAAGAAAUAAAAUUGCACAAGAAGAGUAAAAGUACAAUUAAAAACAAAAAAAUAAACUUUACAAUUCAAUACAUAAAAUAUUUAUUUUUUGACACUGUUGCAUAGCUUCUCCUGCUUCAAAUUGAAACUCAUCCCAAAAUCAAAUUGAAUCACAAAAUGGGUCACUCAGAAAUCUUCAAUUCCGCUCGAAAUUUCGCAGUUAUGGUCAGAAUUCGCGGUCCUGUAAGUUUCUCUCUUUCUCUCUGGUUAAUCCCAGUUCUGCAUAAUCAUGAUCACUCAACUUGCAAUUUCAUCUUUCAGGACCCAAAAGGAAUGAAGAUGAGAAAACACGCUUUUCAUCAUUACCGGUUCUUUGACCUAUCCAUUAUCUACUACUUUUCCUUUUCUUAAUUCAAAGUUUCGUUUUUUUGAAUUUAUGUUUAUGUGGGCUUUGUUUUCUUCUUCUGGGUAUGUGUAGUUCUGGUGAGACAACUCUUUCUGCUUCUGGGUUGCUUGUACCUGAUACCCUUUGUGAUACUCAAGUAGCUAAGCGUUUAUAUGGUGAUAGGUUUGAGGAUAGGGUAUUGGUUGUGACGGUUGCUUCGGUUGUUGAGCCUUUUCUAUCUCCUCAUCAUAGAGAGAAUAUUCCUCAGGUUUGUAUUUGGUGCUCAUAGUUCAUGGAUUCAGUUGUAGAUUAAAUGUUUAAAUGAUGUUUUAAUGCACAAGUUUGACGACAAAAUUGGACUGUAGUUUGAAUAGUUAACUCAAUUUACUUAGGUUAAGUAGAUGAUUAAUGAAAUAAACAAUUCAUUAACCAUUAACUACAAUUUUAACAUUGUUAAGCACAGUCAUCAAUUGUUCAAAUAUACAUGAUUCACCACUUCAAAGUCAUCCUGGUUAAUUGUGUUUGGUGGAUGAUAAAUGAGUUGCGAUACCUUGUUAUUAUCUAUUAACCAUGUGUUUGAAUUAAGUUAACCAACACAUUCAAGUUGGGUGGUUGAAAUGGAGGAGUAUUUCAGGUGUUUUAUGUGACACCAAAGUACAACUCAAACUGAAGGAAAAGUUUUAUAGGACAAUUGUAAGAUAUGUUGUACGAGAAAUAAUGUUGGGCGGUAAAGAACCAACACGAAAGUAAAAUAAAUUUAGUAGAGAUGAAGAUGUUUGGUAAGACUAGACGAGAUAAGAUUAAAAAUGAAAAUAUUAGAGUAUUGGGGUAGCACAUAUAGUACAAAAGAUGGUGGAAAGUACGUUUAGAUGGUUUGGGUAUGUAGAGAGAAAACACGUGGAGUAUAGUCAAACACCUAUCAGCAUAGGAAGACCUAGAAAAACUAUAUAAGAAAUUAUAAAGAAAGAUCUCGAGAUUAACGAAUUGGAUCGACACAUGAUUUUUGAUAGAACAUUAUGUCGUAGUUUGAUCCAUGUAACCGGUCCCACUUAGUGGGAUAAAGCUUGACUGUUGUUGUUCUUGAAUUGACUUAACCAUCUAAAUUGUUGUCAAAUUUUGUUGUCUCAUGGGAUAGCUCCAUAAAAUGUGCUAACUUUAUUUACUUCCAUGUUUAUUAUAUUUAAUAUGUUUUGAAUUUCUAUUUUAUGCUUUUCAGGGUAGGCCUGAUUUGAUUUCUGGUGUUCGAAUUGAUAUUAUGACAGAGAAAACCAAUGAAGAAUCUGAUCAAGGAACUCCGAGUUGGCUUGAGGGGCAGCUAUUGUCAUUAGUAGGCAUUUUGAGUUUCUCUAUGUUGUUCCUUACUAUGCCUUCUUCUUUAAAAUUAAUAAUUUGGUGCUCCUGAUGGUCUAUAUUUUUAAAUGACUGAUUAAAGUUUAAAACGCGUUCAUCCCUGUGAAUUGCUCGGGUUUUGUUCAUCCCUGUGAAUUACAUGAGUUUAAUUUGAUUGUUUGUUAUCCACAAUUUGUAAUAAUUUGUUUCCACGUACAGGUUGAUAUUCCUGCUUCAGCCCUUUGUGUACAGUCACUUGUUGAAACGUCUCGAGGCUUGUCAGAGCAUGAAUGGGAGGUUGGUUGGUCUUUGGCAUCUCACAAUAACGAAUCUCAAUCCUCUAAAGAUAAUUUUCAAACUCAGGUUAUUCCUUUUCUUUCUUCAUAAUUAGGUUACUUUAUUGAUUGUUAUGAAUCAAGAAAGGGUUAGAAAGUUAUGUCUUGAAAAGUAGGUUUAACAGAAAUAAUGUUUUUUCCCUGGAUAUUGCGUUAACGAUUUAAUUUGUGCGCACUAUUUUACACAUGCAUCCAAUCACAUCUCACCAUGUAGAUAAUUAUGGAAAUAUUUUAGAAACUAGUGUAACAAUGUGACAUCAGAGAGUGAUUUGAUUGGAUGCAUGUGUAAAAAUGUUUUACACUGUCGGUACAUUGAAAUUGGUUUCUAAUAUUCCGGUCUUUUGCUUAUAAAGUAUUAAAGUUUCUUUAUUCUUCUUCUAUUUGAUAUUUGGAAAUGUCAUCUCCGUAAUCCAAUGCAUAAAAAGAAACUCAUUAUUUCGGAUGAAGAAUGAUAAAUCAUCUUUGAAAUGUCAGGGGAGGAUAUCGGAGGGAGGAUCGGGUAGUUCAAGUGUUAUGUGCAAAUCACUGACUAGAAUGGCCAUUCUUAGUGUUUCUUUAUCUCUCAAGGUAUUUUUCUGGAAACAGUUAUAACAUAAUGAUUACACCUUGCACAUGUAAUUAUUUUUCUAUUUGGUGUUCUUUCAUUUUUUGUCUUUCUAGACUCAUGAGAAUAACAUGUUGAUGCAUGUAACAUAGGACUCACUGAACUAUCAAAAACCUUCCAUGAAUAAAAGGGGUGAUUUCCUUCUGGCAGUUGGGUCUCCCUUUGGAGUUCUAUCAUCUACACACUUCUUUAACAGGUAUUAUAUUCUCGUCUGGCUAAAAGAAAAAAAAUAUAGAAUAACCUAACUGGUAGUUACUUUCAAAAUGGUAUCUUGUCAUGGUAAAUUUUCUUAGUCACCUUGAUGUAACACAUGGUCAUUAUAUGCCAUAAAAUGUUGAUCCAUGGAUUGAAACAUGGUCCUAGAUAGAAUAUUAUGACGAAAAUUGAUCUAUGUAACCGACCCCACUUAGUGGGAUAAGACUUGGUUGUUGUUGUUGUUGUAUAUGCCAAAAAAAUUCAGGUGAGUUGUUGGCUAUGAAGCAUAGACACCUCUAAGAUUAGGCGUGUCGCAGUGUCUGACACUUGUAAGAUACCCGUAUGACACGUGUUGGAAAACUCAAUCAAGUGUCCGUGUUGUGUCCUGGUAUUUAUGUCAGAGUCCGUGCUCCAUAGGUUGUUGGGGUCACUUGUGUGUUCAGCUGAGUUGUACAAGCUUCUAUUUGUCUAUAUAAUGCUGUGAUGAAUAAGUGGAUAUCUAUGUUUGACAUUAUUUGUAUCAUUCAGUCUUCUGAUUCGGUUGCCUGCUUGAAUCAGUUUAUCAGUUGGAUGCAUUGCAAAUUGUUAUCCUCCUAAUUCAUCUGAUGGAUCGUUGCUGAUGGCUGACAUACGCUGUCUUCCUGGUAUGAGCAGUUUCUCUGUUGCAUAAUUUAGGUCAUUUAUGAAAUUGGUUUUUUAUGACACUCUACCUGUCAGGAAUGGAAGGCAGUCCAGUUUUCAACGAGCAUGCGUGUCUUACUGGUGUCCUGAUCAGACCAUUGAGACAGAAGACAAAUGGAGCUGAAGUUCAGGUAGUUCCUUGAACGUGUUUUUCUCUCGGGAUCUGUUUGUGUUGACUUAUUUGAGUUUAUCUACUAGCAUAAGCAUUUAUAAAACUGUUUGGGAGACCACAUCGAAACAACUUUAUGAUAAGUUUUUCAGAAUAUUUCCAUAAACUAUUCAAGAUAGCUUAUAAAAAUAGUUUAUAUCUUAUAUGAAAACAAUUUGACUUUAUUAUAUUUUUUUGUAAAAGAAACACUUAUGCUAUAAACACUUAAUUAAGCCGUUUAUUCAAAUAGAGCCUAUGUCUAACAUUAUAUAAAACUUUUCAAAUUUAACUCAUCAUGCAAUACUGUAGUCUUUGGUAACAGCUGGUGAUUCCAUGGGAAGCCAUUGUGAAGGCUUCUAGUGGCUUGCUGCGGACAUGUCCUCAAAACACAACAGAAGGAUUACAUUAUCAAGAGGGAAACUCUUAUGCUCCAGGAAAGAGACCUUUUAUCGACUACGAGAGAUCAGAAACUCGUGUACCUUCUAGUAAUAAACACGAGCAUUUAAAUUUUGGUAGCUCUUCACCAUUACUAAUCGAGAGGGCAAUGGCUUCUGUAUGUCUUAUUACUAUUGGUGAUGGAGUAUGGGCAUCUGGCGUUUUGUUAAACAGUCAAGGUCUCGUACUUACAAAUGCCCAUCUGUUAGAACCUUGGAGAUUUGGGAAAACUCAUGUAAGCGGCAGAGGAUAUGGAACCAACCCGGAAAAUUUUCCUUCCAUAUUGGAGGGAACUACUCUUGAGCAGAGGAGAUAUAAAUUGAACCCAACUUAUGACAACCAUAGAAAUAUACGUGUACGGCUUGAUCAUAUCAAGCCUUGGGUUUGGUGUGAUGCUAAAGUAAUAUAUGUCUGUAAAGGACCGUGGGAUGUUGCCUUACUGCAGCUUGAACCAGUUCCGGCUAAUCUUUUGCCUAUUGUAACAAGUUUUUCCAGGCCAUCCACAGGAUCAAAGGCAUAUGUCAUUGGCCAUGGAUUAUUUGGCCCGAAGUGUGGUAAGUCCUUGCAAACCUAAUUAAUUAUUUUUUUUCUUGGUUCGAUUCCAUGUCAUGAAUGCCAGUGAUAUUCGUUCAAAACGAUAUAUUCCAUGUUACUCUUGACUUUUGUGGCUACGCAUUUCUUAAUAUAUAUGUUUGGUGAUUGGUUGGGACAUAGUGUGCAGUUUCUUUCUAUUUUGUUUAACAUCCGAAGUGAUCUAUUUUCAUUAGGAUUCUUCCCAUCUGUUAGCUCGGGUGUGGUAGCGAAAGUGGUUGAAGCAAAGACUCCUCAAUCUUAUCAUUCCAUUCUACCCGAGCACAUGCAUACCCGUGUCCAUUUCCCAGCAAUGCUUGAAACAACAGCUGCUAUUCAUCCUGGUGCUAGUGGCGGUGCUGUUAUCAAUUCAGACGGUCACAUGAUUGGUCUGGUUACAAGGUAAUGCCACUAACCUAUUUUUUUGGAUGUAAUUCUUUAUCAUUGACUUGUAUUUACAUAUAAUGCUUUUGAUACAGCAAUGCAAGGCACGGCGGUGGAUCGAUAAUACCUCAUCUUAAUUUUAGCAUUCCAUCUGCAGCUUUGGCACCUAUCUUCAAGUUUGCAAAAGGUGUAAUUUCAAAAAAUCAUUUUUAGUUUUUGUUUACUUGGUCUCCACAUGGUAGAUUGACAUGUUAUGAUAUGACUCCUCUCCCACUACAGACAUGCUUGAUUCAUCACUUUUGCGGAUUCUAGACGAACCGGACGAGUACAUUUCAUCUAUUUGGGCGUUGAUGCGACCAUCUCCUCCAAAGCUCAAUCCCGCACCUGAUCAACCACAGUCUCGACUAGACAAUAAAAGCAAAGAAGAGAAGGGUUCUCAGUUUGCUAAGUUUAUUGCUGAAAGAAAGGAUAUUUUCAAUGACCCUAUUCAUGUUGGAAAGAGUGGAGUGCUUUCUAAGGAUGUUAUUCCUAGUAAGUUAUGAUGUCUGUUGAAAAUCAUUGAAGUUUACUUGAGCUGGAUGAGAAAGCAUUGCCUGAAAGUAAUGUCUAAUGUAUUUCCUUGUGAUCUGUAUUUUUUGGAUUUGGAGAUUAUGUACUUUUUAUUACUGAUUAGUGAUAAGAAAAUCCAGGAAAUAUUUUUUUGUACUUUGUAUAAAUGAAAAUAUUUUCACCAACAUUUUUGUUUGUUUUUUUGACUUAAUUGCAUUUUUAAAGCAUAUUCAAAUAAAUAACUGUUAUGUAUAAAUGAAAAUAUUUACUUUUGCAGAAGCAUUAUUAUUAUUAUUAUAAUAUAAUAAUAAUAAUAAUAAUAAUAAUAAUAAUUAUUUAUUCUUAUUAUUAUUAUUAUUAUUAUUAUUAUUAUUAUGUUAACUCACUUAGACAUUUUUAUUCCGGUUGACCUCAAGUCCGUGCCACUGGUGUUACGAAGUAUUGUCCACUUUCAGUGUAAGUGUGAGAACACCGUCGACUUUGUCUUUUAAAAAAGAUGUCUCAAAGGAUGAAGAGUGAGUAUUAUAUAUAAACUAUACUUAUUCUUGAUUUAUGUGAGACUAUUUUACACAUCAUGCCGACUUUGUCUUUUAAAAAAGAUGUCCCAAAGGAUGAAGAAUGAGUAUUAUAAUAAACUAUACUUAUCCUUGAUUUAUGUGAGACUAUUUUAGACGGUCCAAAAUAGUUGUCCUCCCAAUCAAGGCUAAGGGCUAGGGUGCUAGCAUGUGAUUUGAGUUCUAACUUCUUAUUCUAGCGCCAAUGUUGUAGUUGACUCUAAGUCCACACCAUAGUAAUGAUGAGAUAUUGGGUUAGGGUGCGAGCACGUGGUUGAGUUCUAACCUCUUAUUCUAACGCCAAUGUUCUAGUUGACUCUAAGUCCACACCAUAGUAAUUACAAGAUAUUGUCUGUUUUGGAUGUGAGAACUCUUAUGAUUUUAUCUUUUAGAAAAUGUAUCUUGUUAGAUUAUGAAGCGUCCCAAGCAAUGUGAGACUAUUUUGGACAAUCCGAAACAGUUGCCCUCCCUGUCGAGGCUAAGGGCUAGGAUGCAAACAUGUGGUUCUGAGUUCUGACCCCUCAUUCUAGCGCCAAUGCUUUGGCCGACUCUAACUUAACACCACUGUAAUUAUGAGAUAUUGUCUGCUUUGGAUCCUAUUGGUUUUGUCUUUUAAAAAAUGUAUCUCGUUAUAUUGUGGAGUGUGAGUAUUCUAUAUAAAUUAUUCUUAAGAAAAUUAUUUUUGCAGAAGAAUAUUACGCAUGAUUGAGGUUGGUAUCUAAUGUCUUUCAAGCGCCACAUGAUGAAUUUUACCAUGCUUAUUUAUACAAAAGAUCUAUGGAAAUAGGAGUCACUUUGAUCUUAAUUCUUAUAAAAAAUCUCUUUCAAAUAAUCUCUGCAGUUUUAAAAUAUUUUAAUUUGAUCUCUCAUUUGAUUUUUUUUUUCUAAACUGGAUAAAUUUUGAUUUUGAUGGUAAAGCAUAUCAUUAUGCCAAAUUAAUCCCGAUUCACCACUUUACAACACUAAUUAUAAGUUAAAUAGUCAGAGUUGCACUUUAUUGUAAAUUCCACUAUACAACCUAGACUUCUCUUUCUAAGCUAGAAGUCAUAACACUUCACUUCAAGUGUUAUUCUUUUCGGCAAUGUUAUUCCUACACCCAUUUUAUACACCAAUACUUAUAUCGUAUACACUGUUCACCAUAUUUAUACGGUGAAUAGUAUUUUUUUAAUAAAAAAAGUAUUUUAUGAACAGUGUUAUAAAUAGUAUCAUGAACAGUAUCUUGUGAAUAUUAUUCAUGAACAGUAAUUUUAAAUAGGGAAACAAAGUUGGUUAAUAAGAUAUAAAAAAUUGGUUACUGAUGUGAUAAAACCGGUUAAUUAACACACAACUAUUUAAAAUAAUUUUUAAUGUAAAAUAAAAUUGGUUAAUAAAAUAUAAAAAGUUGGUUAAUGGAGUGAUGAAAGUGGUUAAUAAACAUUCAGAUAUUAAAAAUAUUUUUUUAUAAUAAAACAAAGUUGGUUAAUAAAAUAUAAAAUAUUUGAUAAUAAAAAUAUAAAAUUGAUUAAUCAUAUUAAUUUUAAAAGUAAUAAUAAUAGUUUUUAUAUUUUUAUAAAAAAUAUUUAUUAUUAUAAUAUUUCAAAUACAUUUAUAUCUAUUAAAAUAUAAAGAAAAGAUAAUAUAGGUGUAAUAGGAGAGAGAAUUUAAUAAUAAAAAAUUAAAAAUGUAUUAUUUAUGGUGUAGGUGUAAGAAAGUGGUGUAGAAAUAUCAUAUCUGAUUCUUUUUAAGCGCUUACAUUUCCUCAAAACAACUUCUUUCUACUUUGGAUCAUUACGAGCUUCUUUAAAAGUAAAUGUAGAACGAGAGGAAGAUUAAUUGAAAUAUGAUAUAUCCCUAAAUAUAGGAUAUAAGAUGUUUGGUGCAAAUUCUAACAUUUUCUAAUUAUUUACAAGAACUGAAUUCACACUAGCCUAGAGUUUUACAUUUUUGUAUUAAUAGGCUGAUUCCCCGUGUUCAUUAUUGAGAAUGUAAUCACUCACUUGUAACAUAAGCUAACUGUCACAAACGACAUUUUUAAGAAUUAAUUAGUUAGCUGAUUUUUUAAGUAUAAAAACACUUGUCAUAUCAUGCUCAAUCAAUAAGAGCAAUUUGAAGCAACUCUCGAAAGAUCGUUGGACCUGUUGAAACAAAAUCAGAUUGCGUUAAGAGAAGAUGUUGACCUAGUGAAAAACAAAUUAGACCAAUUCACGGAGGCCAUGAUACACAUACAAUGCUCUUUACCUUGCAAUAACACUUGAAGUUGAUGUGAAGUUAUUGCAUUCAAACCAUGAAGGUGACACCCACAUCGGAAGACAUUGACCGAGAAUUGUAAUUUAAAACCAAUUUAUAUUAAAGCUUUGAUGCUAAAAUGAAACGAGACAUUACAAAUUUGGUUAUAUGUGGCUUUUAGCAAGUACAAUUAGCACCCACCAUGGGUAAAACUGACUUGGGCCACCAUUGCAUCAGACAGUCUGAUUUCUAUACACAUCUUCAACUCAUCUUUCAAUAUGGUGAACAAGAAGGUAGUAACUCCGAAUAACAAUAGUACCGAUGAUGAGGAUGCCAUGGAAGAAAUGCAUCCCACUAUGGAUGACUUAUGCUGCAAGAAUCAAACUUUUGAGGACAACUUCAUUCACAUCAAAGAGAGACAUCUAAGGCUAAAAAGACUAAGGUUCGGGAAUCCUAACCUCUCUCUAAUGAAAUAUAGGGGGCAUGAGUGCCAGAGAACUUCAACCCGCCAUUACUUUCCCAAUAACAUCUCAUCUCUGUCAACACACAAAUGGAAACUAUUGGAGCUUCUGAUUCACUGAAAUGUAAGCUUGUCUCUGGAGUCUUUAGGGAUGCGACACUGAGGUGAUACAUGGGCCUACCAAGGUUCUCAAUACCCAAUUAUCAGGACCUAGCAAAGAAAUUAGUCCACCAGUUUGUGACAAGCAAGCACCGAAGGUGUCUACCACCAGUCUGUUUAACAUUCACCAAGGCACUACUGAAUCUUUGAGGGAAUAUCUCACCCAAUUUAAUGAGGAAAUUAUCAAGGUUUUCCACCCUAACUAAGAGAUAUUCGUCAGAUAAUUCCAAAAUAGACCGAGGGUUAAGCAUUUUAAUGAAUCCAUUGCCAAAAGGCCUGCAAAUUCCUUGGAGAAGGUAGUGAUGUGGGCAAAAUGCUAUUUAAAGGGAAAGGAAAGCAAUAACGAAAAGAAGGCCAUAUAUGUUAAUGAAUAUACAACUAACAACUCUAAUAACUCAUAGUAGUCGCACAUGAAUCACUAUGCCUUUCCUGCCUGAGAAAUGGCGACCUUCAGAUGAAGUGGGAGAGCUACAUAGAGUUUCAUGCCCUUGAACACACACCAUGAGUAGAUAUGGUGUGAGGUCAUCCAUAAACAUAACAUUUCUCUUCCUCUAAAUCCCAAGUCAGACAUAAUAGGGGCAUGAACCUAGUAGAUGGUGCAAGUUUCACAAGGUCAAAGGGCACCACACAAAAGACAGCUAUGAAAUCAAGAAAGAUAUAUAACGCCUCAUCCAAGUGGGCCACUUGAAGGAAUAUGUCAAAGGAGGUUCCACCUAGAUCCUAGGCGGAUCCAACUCUCAAUGGUGAGAUAAUUAUGGGAGUCCCAGACCUAAGAAAGGCAAGGAACCAAGAAAGGAUAAAGGGCGAAGAAAAACAUAUAUGCCACACCCUUAACACCUUAGCAUGAUGAUCAUCUAGAGGUUGGGAGACUAUCUCUUCUCGUAGAAGGUACACACGCCAAAUUCUAACCAUCAUGGGCUCGUCCACGAGGCUAGACUUUGGAGAGAAUGGAAACUUGGAGUCUGAGAUCACCUUCUUAGAGAAGGACACAUAAGGAAUCCAUCCGCAUGACAAAGACCUCAUGGUCAUAACCGUAAGGUGUGAUGAGUGGAAGAUUAAGAGACUACUAAUUGAUCAAGGAAGCAUUUCAUACAUCCAUUAUUAGGGCGCUUUUGAAAAACUCUUCCUGGAUUUGGACGAACUCAAAGCUUUCCAAGGCUAACAGGUAGGAUUCUCAAGCGUAGAAGUGCAUGUAAAGGGUUAUAUUACCCUAAAUACCAUGUUUGGAGCUGAGAAGACCACAAGGUUGAUCAAGGUAAUAUAUCUUUUUAUAGAUGCAUAUUCUUUAUAUAACAUGAUUAUAUGACGACCUACUUUCAACCAACUUGGAGUCGCUAUGUCCAUAAUAUAUCUUUGCAUGAAAUACUCACUCCCUGAAGGGAGAGUUAGCGUUAUCAACAGGGACUAGAAGAUUUCUAGGAGGUGUUAGCUAGAGAGUCUAAAGUUAAAGAAGGCGACUAUGGUCAUGGUCCACAAUCAGCAGCUAGACGCAUAGGAAGUAAACAUUGCAGACUUGAAGUUGGUAGUCAAACCAUAAGAGACAACUAUCAAAGACAAAUAUUUGACCGCCUUACUUCAGAGGAGCAAGAAGGUGGUAGAUGAAUAGACUAGUUAGGAACCAUUAAUUGCUUUAGGCGUUAUGCCAUGCUUGGAUUAAUUUAAUAUAUCAUUUGGAUUGAUUAAUGAGAGGCAUAAUUUUUGUCAUGUGCAUGGUUUAUUUUUCAUGACAUUCUUUGUUUUGUAUGGGGGUACUAUUUACCUUGCAUUGGUUGUGAUGAACAUGGGUUUUUAAUGAGGUACCACACGUUAUUUAUAUAAGUUUUGAAAUAUUGUUGCUUUGUUUUUGCAGGAAUUUAGGAUUGGAAUGAAAAGUCUUAUCAAAACCUUCCACAAGGCAACCACUUAUGAUGGAUCCUCAUGGAGAAAUCCUUGCCGCCCACAGGGAAAUUACUUAUAUUGGAUCCUCAUAGAGGCGUCCUUGUCGCCCAUAAAGGCAAAUACUUAUGCUGGAUCCUUACAUAGGAAUCCUUAUCAUCCAUAAAGACAAUAAAUUAUGUUGGAUCCUCAUAGAUGAAUCCUUUCCGCCCAUAAGGGAAAUCACUUAUAUUGGAUCGUCAUGAAGGAAUCCUUGUCGGGUUAUAUAGUGGAGAGAAACCUAAUCAAAGCAUUAUAAAAAUAAACAUUUGUACAAGAAAAGUAAGGAAAAGGCAUAUGAUUCCACCACUUCAUUAAUCAAAUCCCAAAGGGGAAAAGGUAUAAGGAAAGCCCUUUAGGACGCCAUUAGUCAUUACAAAAAUCCCUAAGGGAAUGGUCACAAAAGCUUUAGGGGUGUGGUUACAAAAAAAAGGGCCACACAUGACAAAAACUAAGAAGCCCCGGGCUCAGUGACCCUCAUAUUGAACCCACCAUUCUUUAGGAAUACUCCCAUGGCGAACACAAUCCUUCUAUGGAGUUUUCACGUCCUCCAUAUUGUCGCCUUUAGGCUCAGUCUUGGCACCCCGUCAAGAGACACGCCAUACCCAAUAUGAGGUGACACUUAUUCUUCUUCUUCCACCAAUUGGCUAUCACAUAUUCUAUGAAUUAUUCCAUUUCACUUAGGUUUAGUUCAGGAUAGAAGAAGGCCAUUUGCUCUUUCGCACUCUCAAAUAAAUGGUCAGAAGUGUCCACUAAUUCAUCUUUAAGCAUGAAUAAAACUUCCUCCAGUUUCUUCUUAUAAUUGAUGACCUCCUUGAUAGAUUCUUUUAGGCUCAUCUCUAAUGGAGCAAGAGUACAUGCCUUUAGCGCAACCGUGUUAAAUUUGGAUAUAAAAUCCUCAUUAUCUUUGACUAGUGUCCUCACUAUCUCCUGACCAUUAGCAAGGCUUCCCUUAGAAAUGGAGAGUUAUGACUUUAGCUCGUUCACUUCUUGGGUCUGGUCAUCACAUUGGAAUCGUGCCAUCAAUAGACUACUUAGAUAACUUAUUGGGCGCUGUGUUACGAAUGUCCUUAUAGUCACCUGGAAAGUCUUUAGGAAAAUGGAGGUGAGUGUCGUUGAAUUUUAAGGCAAUGAAUGUUGUAUCAAUCCACAUCGAGGGUUUAGGAAACAAGUCAUUCCUUAUUGGUGAAGAGUGAUUUCCCAUGUUAUCCUCUUCAGGAAUUACUAUUGUAUCCUUAGAGGCCUGAGAAUAAUCUCGACUUUGUCUCUAGACUUUAGUGGGGCGAUUCUCAUCAGGGACUUCUCCUUCAAAAUUCCUUUUUAUCCCCUUCAUCAUAAGGCCACCCAUGUGACUUUUGGGGUCUUCCUCCUUCUUGGCCAAUCGCUCAUUCCUUUCAGCCAAUGGGAUGGAAUACAUUUUCUCUGCAAAGUGAUGUAAAGAAAACAUGAGUAAUCUAACGAGUAAAAAAAAUCCUAAAAUGAGGGUCACUAUGAUCUUUUACUUAUUCAUAUAUUUGUCUAUCUCACUUCCUUUUCACUAAUCUAGUAUUAUCAUGGUGUGAGAGCUCAUGAGUUUGAACUCGUCUACGAGUUUAACCACCUCCCUCUAAACAUGGGUGAUAAAGUCAAAGUUAAAGCCAAUGAUUGCCAUUGUAUUCUCCAUCCAAGACAAAGGGAAUAGAGGGGUGCCAUCCACCCCAAUCGUUACAAUGGAGGCACCGUAUUUCCCCCUAACCCUCACGAACCAUUCCUUCUAAUUUUUGUAGUGGUUGAAAUGGGGCUUGAAUAAAGCUCUUCCCGAUAGGGGGAUUAAAACCACCCAGCCGCCUUUGGUGCUUCUCUUGGUACCAUAGAAAGAAAGGAACAUCCCUAUGGUAGGGAAGACUACCAUUCGCUAAUAUAUAAUUUUGAACUCCCUAAUCACGCUCCAGUCAUUGGGCGUAAUCCGAGAAAGAGCAACAUUUGCAGUCACUAGAACCUUAACCUCAAAUACGGUAAAUGGAAUUAGAAUCCAUAAAUCAUGAAUGACAGGAAGUUAUAGAUAGAAGUAAGGGGGGGGGGGUCAAGACAUUUAGGGAAUCCAUGUUGGUUCACUUUUCGUUGGAGUACGCCUCCAAAAUUCAGAGGUGAAUGUAUGCUUUAUUUGUUGUACUCUGAUGAAGUCUCGCGAGAAAUUCAGAGAAGAGGAUAUGCGAAAAGAUAAAAUGGUGAGAGCUGACCCCUUUUAUACAGGAUCCUAAAGCUAGCCAUAUGGGGUAUUAAAUGACCAAUCACUAGGUUCUCUAAUAUUUGCAAAGGAUUACUCACAUUUCUAACACGUGUUGUGUAAGAAAUUAAAGCCAAUUUGGCUUCCCAAGAAAAAAUCAUCAUUGAUCAAGUUUAAUGAUGCACAUGCAUUUACCUCAACUGAAGUUUGAGUAUCUACCUCAAUUAAAGUUUGAGUAUUCACCUCAUUGACACUCGAAGCUUUUUCCUAGGUCAUACUUGAUGAACUUUCCUUAGACCAUACUUGAAGGACUCACCCUAAGCAUGCCCGAGGGACUCGCCACAUGUCACGCUUGAGGGACUCGUCUAAAUGCGAAGAGGCGCUAAAACUAAAUCACUUUGUCCUUUACAAGCCCUCGUGCUUAAGGGACUGUGUAUUGAUAUAUUUUUAAAGGAUCCACACUAGACAACACGAGAUUCACCCAAGACAGGCGAAUAUCACACCUCUCAUAAAGUAGGGUGACUAGCCGCCCAAUCCUCACAACACACAUCCAUUUAUCAUAAUGUUCACCCAUUAUCUGUAGCAUUCACUAUUUAAUUAAAUUGAUCGCCUCAUAGGCUUGAAUAAAAUUACUCGUUGCCCACUUAAGAAACAUGGGGAUUGACAUGACCUAAAGCACUAACGACAUGGAAGCCCAGUUAGAUAAGGAAAUACAUGUUCUCCUAAUGAAUAGGUGGAAUAACCAUGCUCCUAGAAGGAACAUAAUAGCCGUAGCUUGAGUCCUAGGAUACAUAACUAAUAAGUAUAUAUGAAUAUCUCAACCACUGGGUUGAGAGAGGACAUUCAUUCUACUGAGCAAUCACCUAUACACAAUGCUUCUCACAGUGAGCUUGCUCUAACACAACAACAACAUUAAAAUCCUUAGACAACCCUUCACACCUAGGGAUUUACACUAAUUAUUCUUUUAGCAAGUAUAUGAUCCAAUGAAAGUAUUAAAGAAGAAACACAAUUUGCACAGGAAGUAAUGACUUUUAUGAGGUGUUACCAAUGGCCAGUACACAUUUAGCACAAGAUAAGGUAAAUUUUUUGUAUCUUAACAUAGGUUGCAAUAAUCACAUGACUGUAAAAAAACUUGUUUAUCAAGCUUGAUAAAUCAAUAAGAAGAGCCAUUAGGUUUGCUGAUAAUAAAAAAAUUCACAUCUUAGGGCAUGUAGAAAAUUCUUGUGAAGAGGAAGGAUGGUCCAAAAGAUAUAAUAAGUGAUGUGUUAUAUGUUCCUUCAAUGGAAAGAAACCUGAUUAGUUUUGGAAAACUACUUGACAAGAACUACAUCAUGAGGCUAGAGUACAAGGAAGUGAAGGUAUUUCAUGAAAAUUCCAAACUAAAUGCAAAAGCACCUUUGUCAACAGGCUUAACCAUCAGUUACAUCAACCACAACUGAGGAUCGAAAUUGAAUUUGACAUCAUAAGUACAAUCAUAUGAAUUUUAGAAGUUUUAGUCUAAUGCACAUGAAUAAAAUGGUGUAUGGUCUUCCUCAUAUCAAUAUGUCAAGGCAAUUAUAUGAACAAUGUUAUGUAUCCAAAAAGGCAAGAAGUCAUUCAAGCAUGACUUGCCUAUGAAGGCAAAGCAGGAGUUGGAGAUUACUUGAAGUAAAGUCAAUAGGACUGUUAUUUUCUAACCUUCAUAGAUGAACUCACAAGGUAUAUGUGGAUUUAAUUGAUGGAGAAGAAAAGUUAAGUACUCUUCCAAUUCAAGAAUUUUAAGUUAGUUGAAAGAAAAGGCUAAAUGUGACAUUAAGAGAUUGUGAACUAAUGGAGAAGGUGAAUAUACUUCAAUCGAGUUUGCACAAUUAUAUGAGAAGCAAAGAAUUAAGCAUGAGAUAAUAAAUUCUUACACACCUCAAUACAAUGGUAUUGUUGAAAGAAAAAAGAAGAAGCACAUUGAACAUGGAAAUAAACAUGCUUGAUGAUAAGAAAUUGCCAAAUCACUUAUGGGGAGAAGCAAUCUUAACAACAACCCAUGUCAUUAAUAGAUGCCCAAAAAAUAAGCUAAUGAACAAGACACCAUACGAAGCUUGGACAGGCCUGAAGCCAAGUUUUGGUCACUUCAUAAUUUAUUUCUCACUUUGAUCCAUGCAUGUACUUGAAAAAUUAAGAAGGAAGCUGAAUGAUAGAAGUCAGACAAUGAUCCUCAUAAGUUAUCACUUAACAAGUGCAUACAACAUAUUUUCACGUAAUGCGAAAAAGGUGGUGAUAAUAAGUAACGAUAUGCAGUUUGAUGAAAGCAAAUGAUGAAACUGGAUGAAAGUUUUAAAAAAUCCAUAGUAGAAUGGUGAAAACUUAAGCAAUGUUAGAACUAUAUUGCAAGAAGAUCAAGUAAAAGAAGUUGUGUAAAAACAGGAGGUAAAAAGGUCAGCAAAAGCAAUAAGUUAAUAUGUUAUGCUAACUGACUAUGAGAUAUUUCCUGAUCAAUCAAUAGAUGAAUAUGGUUGCCUGAUUGAAGAAGCCAUGAUGGUUGAAUCUAAGCCAAUUGACCUUAAUCAAGCUUGGAAGACGUGGAUUUGCAAAGAGCUAUAUGAAAGAUGAAAUCAAGGUAAUUGAUCUGACCUCCGAGUUGGUCAGUCACUUAAUCAAGAAACUCAUAGAUAUGAAGUGGGUCUAUAAGCUAAAAUUUAGGCCAGAUAAUCAGAUAGCCAAGUACAAGACAAGACUAGUUGUAAAAGGAUUUCUUCAAAGUAUGUAAUUGACAACCAUAUAGAUAUAUACACUAGUUGUUAGACUUGAAAUUAUAAGAGCAGUGGUUGCUAUAUAUUAUAUAUGGUAAAAUCUAUAAAACAUGGUCUCCACAUUUUGGUUAAGAGUGGUUAAAAACCUCAUGGUGCUCAUUCAAGAAAGGAGUUAGUCACCACUUUUAUAUAGCUAAGAAAAAUCAUGUCCAUGUUGGAGGAGUUUCAUUUUCUAUUAAAAAAUCUAUCUAAAAUAGACUUCACAUCAACACAUCCAUAUAGAUAACAAUCUCAUUGAUUUGGUAAUUGAGAAUGAUACAUGCGUCUCUUAGAGAUGACAAUGAGAAUCCAUGGACCCGAGCACUAUAGUCUUCUCGCUAUCCGCCUCAUAGGAUAAAUAUGAUACUUGUGCCCGUCCCAUGCUCGUGUUGGUUUCUACCAGACGAUAUUUGUGGAUUAUUAAUUGAUAUGGAUACCAUCAAAUCUGUAUCUGUACCUGUAAACUAACGAGUAAUUAAAUACUCAUUAAUUUAAUUCAUGAAUAUCCAAUAAACGACCGAACCCGUGUUUGUAACAAUUUUUUCUUAGGAAUACUCAAGAGUACAAUUUUUUUUUGCCAUUCAUAGUCUAUACACAAUUAUUCAAUUUACUUCCUUUUUUUUUCUUUCUUAUUGAAAACAUUUACUUGUCUUCUUUAGUGCAUGUUAGUGUCAUUUUUGCAUUACUUUAUACAUUCAAAAUUGAAUAAUUAUAACUUAAUCAUAAUCACAAUUUAGAUCAAUAAAUUUAUCAAUUAAAAAUUUAAAAAGAUGGUUAAAUUUAUUUAUUAAGAAUGAUUAAUUUACCAUGAACAACAAUAGGAUGGUGGUGCUCUAAAAUGACCUUCAUUUGGUGCUCUAAAAUAAGCUUCAUUACCAUUUAAUUGAAUUUAAUACUAUUAAAUUGGCAAUACAAGUACCAAUUUGGAAAACCCUACUUUUAUGAUCUCUGCAUAAAGCCCACGUGAGGACUGAGGCAGUCUACUAUAUAAUGCAUCUCUGAUUUUGAAAGAAAGUUACUGACAUCGACAUUUCAUUUUCCACCUUAUGUCGGGUUCAUCCAUAUUCAUUUAAGAAAAUGUAUCAUGUAUAUCAUUUUUUUUCAUAUGCAUAUGUGAUAUUCAAUUAAUUAUGUAUAAAAAUGUGAUUACUUUGAUUAAAUCAAUAAUUAAUUUAAUUUAUAGUUAAAAUUGUGGCUAAUUAAACAUAUAAACUAACCAUAUUUUAUAAUGUAAAUUAUAUAAAAAUAUACUCAAUAGAAUUAAUUAUAUUUUUACAUAUUAAAUAUUGUACAUGGGUAAGAAAAGGAAAUGUAUGUUUAUCAACACUGAUUUAUUUAUGUUCUGUUUUUAGUAAAUAAACAUAAUUUUUCAAUAUUUUCAUAUAUAUUUUAAAUUGUGUGUUUAUCUUAACUUUCACAAAUCUUUGUUGAAAAGAAAUCGGCGACUUGUAUGGAGGAAGAACAAUAUAAGGUGCUUCCUUCUCUACCUCUCCGACAACCUCCUUUUCGGAUGGUGUAGAUGCAUUUUCCUUAAUCUCUACAUCUUUUUUAACAAAAGCUCUCCUCAACCUCUUUAUCAUUCUCCCUAAAUUUUUCAACUUGUUUUUCACUUUUAAUUGUUACACAUUCACAUGUCCCUCUGCGUCGCAAGGGAUUCGACCACAAUGUUUAUCUGCCUAAUGGCUUCACUAGUAUAGAUAAUUUGGUUUCUAAACUCUUCAUUUCAGCGAGUUUGCAUUGCAAUAAAAUUCUCCAUUAAUAUUUCAAGGUUGGGUUAUUUUAGAAUAUUGCAAAUGAUUAUUGUAGAGAAAAUUGUGAUGAUCUAUCCACCAUGGAUUAUAGGUAUUGGGACAAGAGACUCCAUGGUUAUUAUUCACAUUGUUGAACGUAUUAAAAGAAAUAAUAAAAAAAGUAAAAGUUGCUAUAUUCUCUAUGAUAACAAAAUAGAAUAAUCAAUACAAGUUCUUCGCAUACAAGGGCAGCGAGAGAACUAUAGAAAAAACUCUAGUAUAUACGGUGACUAAACAAAAAUUCAAUAUCAAGCACAAUUGGUCCCCGUAAACAAUGUCAAAAACUUGACACGCCGCAAGUGUAUGAAUAUGCGAAGUAGUAAAACGUUAUUGAACCACAAAGACCAAAGGUUGAUUACCGAAUUUCGUCCUAUCAGUGUAUAUAUAAAGUAACCGAAAAAUAUGGAGUUUUGUAAAAUAACUUAAAUAGAAAAGCACUUUUGUAAAUUACUUAAAUAAAAAUCAC